Callithrix jacchus (white-tufted-ear marmoset) is the source of this 1673-nucleotide long non-coding RNA. The record is from Ensembl. NCBI's taxonomy places the organism in Eukaryota, Metazoa, Chordata, Mammalia, Primates, Cebidae.
AUGAAUCACUCCUCUUGCCUCUCUAGGCAGGGGGAAGAGUUCAAUAAGCACAUGGGAGAACUCUCAACUUGUACGCACAUUCUAAACAUGUCUGCCUGUAGGAUGAGUGGGUUUGAUUCCAUCUUUCAUGUCCAAGAAUGGGUCAUGAUUGGCACCUCCUCUUUCAAAAGUUGUUGCUUCAAAGCUGAAGCCAAAUUGCUCUAAAAGAAAUCAAGCCCAGAGGGUGGGUAAUGGUUAGAAGAAAUAAAAUUUCUCAUUUUAGACAGUGUGGAAAAUGAAUGUAAAAUCUUAAAUUGUGGCAUCAAUUUCACUAUUACAGGAAAAGCCAGCCUGUGGAUGAAGUGGCAAAGCUGAGAGUGUUUCAGUGAUAUUGAGUGGUUACUUGAUCUAAAUUAAUCCAGACUCUUUAGUUAUUUGUGAGAUGGAAAAGCCCAUCUUGGUGAACCCUGUUCUUUGUGUGGAUGUGAGGCAAGUACUUACAAUCUCCUUUUGUCAUUUUGAGUUGAGUUUUCUGUAGUUUGCAAUUGACCACAUUUCACCUGAUAUAAUUAAGACCCGGGUAGUGAAAAGAACAUUGUUUGUUGUGCUGUGUUACAUUUUAUAUUGUAGAUUUGUGAAUCUUUAAAUUGUUUAGGGAAUAAUAUACUUUUCAAUAAACAUUAGCUUUUAUUCACAUCUGAACAAAACCAGUGAUGUAGGAUGCUUACUGACUAAGCUGAAAGCUGAUGUAAGGGAAAUGUAAUUCUAUAACCUGCAGAUUUUUACUUAUUUUAUCGUUAAACUAUUUGCAAUUUUGCAAAAAAAGUACUCUAAAAUGUACAUGUAAAAUCCCUGCUAAUUCCAAAUGGUCACAAAAGGUUUUCCAUGCAACUAACUGAUUUCUGACCUAUGUAGUUGUUUAUGACAAUUUUAUAAAAUAUUAUUUGUAUUACGUGAAGCCAAGUACAGUUAUUUAUUCCUGCCAGCCUUGACAUCUCAGAUACUAUUAUUUUAAAAAUGUAACCAUAUUUUCCAGCCUCAAUUUAUUUCCCUCUUUCCUUCAUACUUCCAUCAGCACUCAUAUGACUUGAUGGGAGACUGUCUCAUUUGAGCUCAGAACCAUAUUCUGUCAAAAAUCUGAUUGCUCAGCAAAUAUCAAAUAUUGCCAUCAGAUACAGAGUUUUAGGAGAAUGCAUUCCAAUUUUUGUCACUAAAACCAAAUUCUUAACAUUGGACACUGAAGAAAGACAUAGAAGUAACUCUGGAAGUAAGGAAGCAACAAAGUAACUAUAAGCAUAAGCUUGUUCCAAAAUGUGGGGGAUUAUUGAAAACUGAACUAUCAAAAAAGACUCUAAUAUAUUUAAGCAAAAAUAUGUGGCUCACUCUGAAUUGAAAAAUUAAUUCUAGGAUUUGUUAGAUAUGUUAAUUGGUUCAAAUCAAAAUUAACAUAUGAAAAGGAAAGAAAGACACUGAAAAUAGACUGAAUUAAAGCAGCAAAAGAGGUAAUAGAAAUAAACCUUACAUAUGACAGCCUGUCACCUCAAUAAAACAGAGUUAUGUGGCAAAAAGGCAGCCAUUGCAAAAAACUAUGACACUGAUAUCCAAGAGCAGCCCCAGUGUUGGUCAGACACUUUCUUUACAAAUAUUCAUGUCAUUAAUCUUCUUUCAAAAACCACUGAGGCAUAAACAUCAAC